GCCUUUGUGGUGUAAUUGGAAGCAUACCUGACUCAUAUUCAGGAGGUCUGAAGUUCAAACUCCGUCAAGGCC
RNAcentral lists this transfer RNA (72 nucleotides) under Stegodyphus mimosarum. It matches the Rfam family "tRNA". From Rfam's summary of the family: Transfer RNA (tRNA) molecules are approximately 80 nucleotides in length. Lineage: Eukaryota; Metazoa; Arthropoda; Arachnida; Araneae; Eresidae. The record is from Rfam by way of RNAcentral.